This 730-nucleotide ribosomal RNA is filed under the name uncultured Bacilli bacterium. RNAcentral describes it as "bacterial SSU rRNA". It matches the Rfam family "Bacterial small subunit ribosomal RNA", at positions 28 to 739 of the family's 1533-position model. Lineage: Bacteria; Bacillati; Bacillota; Bacilli. The record is from RNAcentral.
GACGAACGCUGGCGGCGUGCCUAAUACAUGCAAGUCGAACGAGAGCGACCGGUGCUUGCACUGGUCAAUCUAGUGGCGAACGGGUGAGUAACACGUGGGUAACCUGCCCAUCAGAGGGGGAUAACAUUCGGAAACGGAUGCUAAAACCGCAUAGGUCCUUUAACCGCAUGGUUGAAGGAGGAAAAGAGGCGCAAGCUUCUGCUGAUGGAUGGACCCGCGGUGCAUUAGCUAGUUGGUGAGGUAACGGCUCACCAAGGCCGUGAUGCAUAGCCGACCUGAGAGGGUGAUCGGCCACAUUGGGACUGAGACACGGCCCAAACUCCUACGGGAGGCAGCAGUAGGGAAUCUUCCGCAAUGGACGCAAGUCUGACGGAGCAACGCCGCGUGAGUGAAGAAGGUUUUCGGAUCGUAAAACUCUGUUGUUAGAGAAGAACAAGUGCUAGAGUAACUGUUAGCGCCUUGACGGUAUCUAACCAGAAAGCCACGGCUAACUACGUGCCAGCAGCCGCGGUAAUACGUAGGUGGCAAGCGUUGUCCGGAUUUAUUGGGCGUAAAGCGAGCGCAGGCGGUUCCUUAAGUCUGAUGUGAAAGCCCCCGGCUCAACCGGGGAGGGUCAUUGGAAACUGGGGAACUUGAGUGCAGAAGAGGAGAGUGGAAUUCCAUGUGUAGCGGUGAAAUGCGUAGAUAUAUGGAGGAACACCAGUGGCGAAGGCGACUCUCUGGUCUGUAA